GUUUGUGUGUGAGGGGUGCAGUGUGUGUGAAGGGUGCAGACUGUGUGUGUGUGUGGGGGGGGUUGCAGUGUGUGUGUGUGAGGAGUGCAGUGUGCUUGAGGUGUGCAAUGUGUGUGUGUGAGGGAUGAAAUUUGUGUGUGUAUGUGUGUGUGAGGGGUGCAGUGUGUGUGGGUGGGGUGCAGUGUGUGAAUAUUUUGGGAGGUGUU
Molecule: non-coding RNA, 206 nt
Organism: Pelobates cultripes (western spadefoot toad)
Lineage: Eukaryota; Metazoa; Chordata; Amphibia; Anura; Pelobatidae
Source: the annotation of a GenBank genome assembly